Anolis carolinensis (green anole) is the source of this 3743-nucleotide long non-coding RNA. RefSeq lists it as uncharacterized. The record is from RefSeq and is a predicted model, not a curated record. Lineage: Eukaryota; Metazoa; Chordata; Lepidosauria; Squamata; Anolidae. The transcript is spliced from 2 exons.
AUUAUUAUUAUUAUUAUAUUAUCUCCUUGCAUUGCACUGCUUUCCUAUUGCAUUGCCUUGCAUUGCAAUGGAUGGAUGGAUAGGGCGGGCUACAAAUAAAUUAUUAUUAUUAUUAUUAUCUCCUUGCAUUGCCUUGCAUUGCAAUGGAUGGAUGGAUAGGGCGGUCUACAAAUAAAAAAUAUUAUUAUUAUUAUUAUUAUUAUUAUCUUGCAUUGCUCUGCUUUCCUAUUGCAUUGGCUUGCAUUGCAAUGGAUGGAUGGAUAGGGCCGUCUAGAAAUUAAAAUUAUUAUUAUUAUUAUCUCCUUGCAUUGCACUGCUUUCCUAUUGCAUUGCCUUGCAUUGCAAUGGAUGGAUGGAUAGGGCGGGCUACAAAUAAAUUAUUAUUAUUAUCUCCUUGCAUUGCCUUGCAUUGCAAUGGAUGGAUGGAUAGGGCGGUCUACAAAUAAAAAAUAUUAUUAUUAUUAUCAUCUCCUUGCAUUGCUCUGCUUUCCUAUUGCAUUGGCUUGCAUUGCAAUGGAUGGAUGGAUAGGGCCGUCUAGAAAUUAAAAUUAUUAUUAUUAUUAUCUCCUUGCAUUGCUCUGCUUUCCUAUUGCAUUGGCUUGCAUUGCAAUGGAUGGAUGGAUAGAGCGGUCUAGAAAUAAAAAAUAUUAUUAUUAUUAUUAUUAUUAUUAUCUCCUUGCAUUGCCUUGCAUUGCAAUGGAUGGAUGGAUAGGGCGGUCUAUAAAUUAAAACUAUUAUUAUUAUUAUUAUUAUUAUUAUUAUUAUCUCCUUGCAUUGCACUGCAUUCCUAUUACAUUGCCUUGCAUUGCAAUGGAUGGAUGGAUAGGGCGGUCUAUAAAUUAAAACGAUUAUUAUUAUUAUUGUUAUUGUUAUUAUUAUCUCCUUGCAUUGUACUGCUUUCCUAUUGCAUUGGCUUGCAUUGCAAUGGAUGGAUGGAUAGGGCGGUCUACACAUAAAAAUUAUUAUUAUUAUUAUUAUUAUUAUUAUUAUUAUUAUUAUUAUUAUUAUUAUUAUCUCCUUACCUUGCAUUGCAAUGGAUGGAUUGAUAGGGCGGUCUACAAAUAAAAAAUAUUAUUAUUAUUAUUAUUAUUAUUAUUAUUAUUAUUAUUAUUAUUAUUAUAGAUAGGCCUUUCCAUUGCCUCUCCUUGCCUUGCACUACAUUCCUAUUGCAUUGCCUUUGAACUGCAUGGUUUUGCUAUUGCCAUUGCCUUGCCAUUGAACUGACUUACAUAAUAUUGUAUUGCACUGCAUUGCAUUGGAUGGAUAGAUGGAUAUAUGGAAGAUAUAUAUGAAUAGACCUUGCCAUUGCCUCUCCUUGAAUUGCACUGCAUUCUUAUUGCAUUGCAUUGCCUUUGAACUUCAUAUCCUUGCCAUUUAACUGCCUGGCAUUGCAUUAUAUUGCAUUGGAUGGAUAGAUAAGGUAUCUUUAUCUAUAAGGUAUCUUCCCUUGCAUUGCACUGCAUUCCUAUUGCAUUGCAUUGCCUUUGAACUGCUUGCUAUUGCCUUGCCAUUGAACUGCCUUGCAUUUCAUUGGAUGGAUUGAUAGGUAUCUGGAUGGAUUGAUAGGUAUCUGGAUGGAUGGAUGGGUUAGAUAGACAGAUAGAUAGAUAUCUGGACAGAUGGAUGGAUGGCUAGAUAGAAGGAUAGAUCUAUAUGGAUGGAUAGAUAGAUUGAUAUUUAUCUGGGUGGAUAUCUAGAUAAAUGGAUGGAUGGAUGAGAUAGAUAUCUGGAUGGAUGGAUAAAAGAAUAGAUAUAUAUCUGGAUGGAUGGAUCGAUAGACAUAUUGAUAGAUAUCUAGAUGGAUAGAUAGGUAUAUGGAUAAUAUGGAUAGAUGAUUGAUUGGUUGAUAGGUAUCUGGAUGGAUGAAUGAAUAGAUAGAUAUUUGGAUGGAUGGAUAGAUUGAUCAGUUUCUGGAUGGAUGGAUAGAUAGAUAGAUAGAUAGAUAGAUAGAUAGAUAGAUAGAGAUAGAAAGACAGAUACGAUAGACAGAUAAAUAAAUAUUUGGAUGGAUGGAUAAGUUGAUCAGUUUCUGGAUGGAUGGACAGACAGACAAAUAAAUAUUUGGAUUGAUUGAUUGAUUGAUAGGUAUCUGGAUGGAUGAAUGGAAAGAUAGAUAGAUAUUUGGAUGGAUGGAUAGAUUGAUCAGUUUCUGGAUGGAUGGAAAGAUAGGUAGAUGGAUAAUAUAGAUAGAUGAUUGAUUGAUUGAUAGGUAUCUGGAUGGAUAAGUGGAUAGAUAGAUAGAUAGAUAGAUAGACAGAUAUUUGGAUGGAUGGAUAGAUUGAUCGGUUUCUGGAUGAAUUGACAGAUAGAUAGAUAGAUAGAUAGAUAGAUAGAUAGAUAGAUAGAUAGAUAGAUAGAUAGAUAAAAAGACAGAUACGAUAGAUAAAUAAAUAUUUGGAUCGAUUGAUUGAUUGAUUGAUUGAUUGAUAGGUAUCUGGAUGGAUGAAUGGAUAGAUAGAUAGAUAGAUAGAUAGAUAGAUAGAUAAUAUAGAUGAUUGAUUGAUUGAUUGAUUGGUAGGUAUCUGGAUGGAUGAGUGGAUAGAUAGAUAGAUAUUUGGAUGGAUGGAUAGAUUGAUCGGUUUCUGGAUGAAUUGUCAGAUAGAUAGAUAGAUAGAUAGAUAGAUAGAUAGAUAGAUAGAUAGAUAGAUAUUUGGAUGGAUGGAUAAAUUGAUCGGUUUCUGGAUGGAUGGGCAGACAGAGACAAAUAUUUGGAUGGAUGGAUAGAUGGAUCGGUUUCUGGAUGGAUAGAUAGAUAAAUAAAUAUUUGGAUGGAUGGAUAAAUUGAUCAGUUUCUGGAUGGAUGGAUAGAUAGAUAAAUAAAUAUUUGGUUGGAUGGAUAGAUGGAUCGGUUUCUGGAUGGAUAGAUAGAUAAAUAAAUAUUUGGAUGGAUGGAUAAAUUGAUCAGUUUCUGGAUGGAUGGAUAGAUAGAUAAAUAAAUAUUUGGUUGGAUGGAUAAAUUGAUCAGUUUCUGGAUGGAUGGAUAGAUAGAUAAAUAAAUAUUUGGAUGGAUGGAUAAAUUGAUCAGUUUCUGGAUGGAUGGAUAGAUAGAUAAAUAAAUAUUUGGAUGGAUGGAUAAAUUGAUCAGUUUCUGGAUGGAUGGAUAGAUAGAUAAAUAAAUAUUUGGUUGGAUGGAUAAAUCGAUCGGUUUCUGGAUAGAUAGAUAGAUAGAUAGAUAGAUAGAUAGAUAGAUAGAUAGAUAUCUGGAUGCAUGUAUGGAUUGAUAGAUGGAUAGAUAUAUAGAUGGCUUCUUUGGCUUCUUUCUGCUGAAAUAGGGAGAUUUCAACUGAGAUUUCCAUAUAAAGCCAAAUGCGUUUCCCUUUUGUGAUGUUUUUGCCUGGAGGAGAUUUCUUCUUCUCUUCUUCCUCCUCCUCCUUCUUUCACUUUCUUUCUCUUCCAUUUCUUCCCAUGCUCUUUUCUUUUUCUCUAUCGGGCCGUGAGCCGAGACGGGAUGUCGAGAGCACCGUUUUGAAAUAUCGCUAUACAUAUAUACAUAUGGACACGCACACAUAUAUAUUUGGACCCUCAUUAGACAGGACGGGGACGUGGUUGUUGCAAAACUCCCUCAUGUCCUGACAAUGCUUAUUAAAUAGUUUCUAGGUUCUCAUCAUCAUUAUGCAUUAGAGUUCUAAUAUCUCAUCAUCAUAUUCAUUAUUCAUUAUUCAUUGCAAAAUUGUGGCUGCGACUUUGCUUCUGGGGAUGGUUUCGGUGCAGAGAAUAAAGGAAAAAAGUGGUGUGAAACAUGA